Molecule: long non-coding RNA, 354 nt
Organism: Helianthus annuus (common sunflower)
Lineage: Eukaryota; Viridiplantae; Streptophyta; Magnoliopsida; Asterales; Asteraceae
Exons: 2
Source: RefSeq, a predicted model, not a curated record
CAUAACACUCCUCAUCUUUCUCUUACCUCUUUCUCUUUCUCAUUUCUUCUACCCCAAUCUUGAAGACAAACAAACAUGAGAAACAACCACCAUCAGCAACCAUCUUCUCCAGGAGAAACAAACAACCAGCACCAGCAACCACCUCCUCCGGCGAAACUAACCGGGCUUCUUCUCCGACCCUCUCUCUCCUCAAUAAACAACAACCACCAGCAACCACCUUCUCCAGCGAAACUCACCGGACUUCUUCUCCGGUGCUCUCUCUCCUCUCGGUCUAAUUGCUCUUGAAACAGACCAAUAAAGAUAUUCAAUCGACAAGCUGGAUGGAUGUAGGCGACGUUAAUGCGGGGACAUGUG